Girardinichthys multiradiatus is the source of this 1931-nucleotide long non-coding RNA. RefSeq lists it as uncharacterized. The transcript has 3 exons. The record is from RefSeq and is a predicted model, not a curated record. NCBI's taxonomy places the organism in Eukaryota, Metazoa, Chordata, Actinopteri, Cyprinodontiformes, Goodeidae.
AGAUAUAUUUAUAUAUUUAACCCUUCCCAGACUGAGGGGCAGAAGCAGUUGCUUCUCUAAGGGCAUUGCUGAUGUCUUGACCCUUUAGCAUUAUAUUAAUGUACAACUGUAUGUUCCAGAUGUAAGGAUUAUGAUUAUUGAUUAAUUAAUAUUCUGUCGGGAUCUGGGUUGUGUUUGUGUCUUUGUGCUUGCAACUUGUGUCUCAGAGUUUCCAGACUGUGCUGAAGUUCUCAGGUGUGCUGGGGGACAGGUGCGACUUAUCCUGCUGAUUACUUGGUGGAGUAUUUAAGCAGGAGGCUGCCAGUACUUUGACGCCAGAGUGUUUGCCUUCUGUGGUAACAAGCUCAGCCAAUGCAAAGUCUAUGCUUCAUCUCUUGUUUUUGGAUUAACUUUGUUCAUGUGUUUUUGCAGACCAAGUACCAGGACCUUUUGGGUUUAUGUCUCUGAACCACAGACUCUGUGAGCUAAGUGUUUCCUGGUUAAACUUCGUUUUGUGGAUUUCGUUCUGUACUUCGUUUUCAUCUGGAUCUUCGACCAAGCUGGCAGUUUCCUGCAACCUUCAUCUCCUGGACCAAGAACUAAGCGUAACCUGUCCACCCUCCAGCGCAAGUAUCAGCACAAGGAAACAACCUCACCUUUUCACCAACCACAAUUAAGUCUCAACCAAGUGUCUCCUGGAUUGAGUACGCCCUAAAUUCCCACGUUUCCUCGGCAACUGGUCGUUCCCCUUUUGAAGUGUCUCUCGGCUAUCAACCACCUUUGUUUGCUGCCGACGAAAGGGAUAUCAGGGUUUCAUUGGUUCAUCAACACAUUCAACGCUGUAAAUCCAUCUGGACUACCACUAUCCAGACCCUACAUCGCACUGCUGACCAGAACAAACGCUUCGCUGACUGAAGACGCCGACCGGCACCGCAAUACCAGCCGGAGCAAAAGGUAUGGUUGUCAGCAUGGGACAUACCACUAAAAUCUAUGUCUAAGAAACUCUCGCCUUGUUUCAUUUGCCCCUACGAGAUUGAGUCUGUGAUUGGUCCAUCUGCUGUUUGCCUUCGUCUACCUGCUACUCUUCGUGUUCAUCCUACAUUCCAUGUGUCGCAACUCAAGCCGGUGGUCUCUAGUGACUCGUGCCCUCCGGCCAAACCCCCACCAUCCACCCUGGACCGUCAAGGGCACCCAGUGAAUGCGGUCCGACGAAUCGUGGACUCCCAUCGACGGGGCCGUGGGUGGCAGUACCUCGUCGACUGGGAGGGUUACGGUCCUGAAGAUCAUGUCCCGAUCAUGUAUUUGUGACCCUUCAUUGAUUGACGAUUACCGUGCCUCUUUACCUUCCACUUCUUCUGGGCUGCCGUUGAGGGGGGGAUGAUGUCGGGAUGUGGGUUGUGUUUGUGUGUUUUGUGCUUGCAACUUGUGUCUCAGUGUUUCCAGACUGUGCUGAAGUUCUCAGGUGUACUGGGUGACAGGUGCGACUUAUCCUGCUGAUUGCUUGGUGGAGUAUUUAAGCAGGAGGCUGCCAGUACUUCGACACCAGAGUGUUUGCCUUCUGUGACCAAGUACCAGGACCUUUUGGGUUUAUGUCUCUGAACCACAGACUCUGUGAGCUAAGUGUUUCCUGGUUUUGUGGAUUUCGUUCUGCACUUCGUUUUCGUCUGAAUCUUCGACCAAGCUGGCAGUUUCCUGCAACCUUCAUCUCCUGGACCAAGAACUAAGCGUAACCUGUCCAGCCUCCAGCGCAAGUAUCAGCACAAGGAAACAACCUCACCUUUUCACCAAGCUAAGUCUCAACCAAGUGAUCAACUGAGUAGACUGGACUUCAACAACCCAAACCCUGAAUCCCUCUAUCCCUGGUGACCUGACCACAUCCAUUCAUUGGAGUUUCGCCUGUUUACGUUCCCUAUUCCUUUUGUUCCCAAAUAAACAACCUUUAUUACUUUUCA